CAUGGAAGUAUUGUAAUAUAUAUUUAUUUUGCAUUGUGAGUUAAAGGUUGUAAUCCACACAUCUACCUUGGUUUUUUGUUUUUAUCUGUAUCUGUAUCUGUAUAGUACUGGAAAUGAACUCAAAAUACUGAGUAAAAUUUAUCCAGGAAGUUUGUGUGCGCCCCUGAUGUAACUAGUGGCGCGAUAUAACUGCCUUAAAAC
This 201-nucleotide long non-coding RNA is filed under the name Mytilus galloprovincialis (Mediterranean mussel). Lineage: Eukaryota; Metazoa; Mollusca; Bivalvia; Mytilida; Mytilidae. The record is from RNAcentral.